UAGGGAAUCUUCCACAAUGGACGCAAGUCUGAUGGAGCAACGCCGCGUGAGUGAAGAAGGUUUUCGGACCGUAAAGCUCUGUUGUUGGUGAAGAAGGAUAGAGGUAGUAACUGGCCUUUAUUUGACGGUAAUCAACCAGAAAGUCACGGCUAACUACGUGCCAGCAGCCGCGGUAAUACGUAGGUGGCAAGCGUUGUCCGGAUUUAUUGGGCGUAAAGCGAGCGCAGGCGGAAGAAUAAGUCUGAUGUGAAAGCCCUCGGCUUAACCGAGGAAUUGCAUCGGAAACUGUUUUCUUGAGUGCAGAAGAGGAGAGUAGAACUCCAUGUGUAGCGGUGGAAUGCGUAGAUAUAUGGAAGAAUACCAGUGGCGAAGGCGGCUCUCUGGUCUGCAACUGACGCUGAGGCUCGAAAGCAUGGGUAGCGAACAGGAUUAGAUACCCUGGUAGUCCAUGCCGUAAACGAUGAGUGCUAAGUGUUGGGAGGCUUCCGCCUCUCAGUGCUGCAGCUAACGCAUUAAGCACCCCGCCUGGGGGAGUACGACCGCAAGGUUGAAAC
RNAcentral lists this ribosomal RNA (554 nucleotides) under uncultured bacterium. RNAcentral describes it as "partial 16S ribosomal RNA". It matches the Rfam family "Bacterial small subunit ribosomal RNA", at positions 355 to 900 of the family's 1533-position model. The record is from RNAcentral.